UUCGAUAAUCCGCGAGUUACCUUACCAAAACUAGCUUUUUCAGGUGUUGCAUGGCCGUCGUCAAUUUAUGUUUGAUACAAUAAAUUAAACCCUAGAAAGGUUGAAGUCAGGUAUUAUUGCCCUUAUGUUUUGGGGUUAAAUGCGCUACAUUUUUUUUUUAAUAAAAAAAAAGAGUUCGGAUUGUCUUUAAAAGAGGAUAAUUAAGUAGAAUUUAAUAGUAAUUGAAAAGUAGAGCGUUUCAAUGAAUUUGCCGCAAUGUUAGUACAAAUUGCCCGUCGCCUCUACUGAGGUAAACAAAGUAGAGUAAGUCGUAACAUAGUAAGGGUGAGGGAACUGGCCCUUGAUGCCCAAAGAUUAAUAAUAUCAAUUACUACCUUGUAGUUAAAAAAUUAAUAAAAGAAUAUCGUAAGGAGCGGAUCUAUGAUAUAAAUUGUAGGCGGGGUAAAGGUAACGAUAGACUUUUGUUUGGUGGGGGGGG
Molecule: ribosomal RNA, 478 nt
Filed under: Favia fragum
Lineage: Eukaryota; Metazoa; Cnidaria; Anthozoa; Scleractinia; Faviidae
Description: partial small subunit ribosomal RNA
Rfam family: Bacterial small subunit ribosomal RNA (bases 1-356)
Source: RNAcentral